GCAAGUCGAACGCCCCACUUCGGUGGGGAGUGGCGAACGGGUGAGUAACACGUUGGAACCUGCCCCGAACUCAGGGAUAACCACCGGAAACGGUUGGCUAAUACCGGAUAGUCCCGAAAGGGUAAAGAUUUUUCGGUUCGGGAGGGGCCUGCGGCCUAUCAGCUUGUUGGUAAGGUAAUGGCUUACCAAGGCAAUGACGGGUAGCUGGUCUGAGAGGAUGACCAGUCACAAUGGGACUGAGACACGGCCCAUACUCCUACGGGAGGCAGCAGUAAAGAAUCUUCCACAAUGGGCGAAAGCCUGAUGGAGCAAUACCGCGUGAGUGAUGACGGCCGAAAGGUUGUAAAACUCUUUUCUGAGGGAAGAAUUCUGACGGUACCUCAGGAAUAAGCACCGGCUAACUCCGUGCCAGCAGCCGCGGUAAUACGGAGGGUGCAAGCGUUACCCGGAAUUAUUGGGCGUAAAGCGUCCGCAGGUGGUUUGUUAAGCUGGAUAUUAAAUCUCGUAGCCCAACUACGAGGCUGUGUCCAGAACUGGCAAACUAGAGGCAUUCAGAGGUGCGUGGAAUUCUGUGUGUAGGGGUAAAAUCCGUAGAUACACAGAGGAACACCAAAAGCGAAGGCAGCGCACUGGGAAUGUUCUGACACUCAUGGACGAAAGCGUAGGUAGCGAACGGGAUUAGAUACCCCGGUAGUCUACGCCGUAAACAAUGGGUACUAGGUGUUGGAGGACUCGAUCCUUCCAGUGCCAAAGCUAACGCAUUAAGUAUCCCGCCUGGGGAGUACGGUCGCAAGAUUAAAACUCAAAGGAAUAGACGGGGACCCACACAAGCGGUGGAGCAUCUGGUUUAAUUCGAUAAUGAGCGAGGAACCUUACCUGGGUUUGACAUCUUAGGAAU
This 898-nucleotide ribosomal RNA is filed under the name uncultured organism. RNAcentral's name for it is "bacterial SSU rRNA". It matches the Rfam family "Bacterial small subunit ribosomal RNA", at positions 57 to 996 of the family's 1533-position model. The record is from RNAcentral.